Molecule: long non-coding RNA, 141 nt
Organism: Herpailurus yagouaroundi (jaguarundi)
Lineage: Eukaryota; Metazoa; Chordata; Mammalia; Carnivora; Felidae
Exons: 3
Source: RefSeq, a predicted model, not a curated record
GUCUCCUUUGGGCCCCUUGGGGCCUGGGUCGCCCACACUCCCUGUGGCUCCUGUGUUUCCCAUGAGUCCUGGCUCCCCUCUGGGUCCUUCAAGACAAGCAGGGCACAGAGGACUCACAUGUCUGAACUCCAGUCACCCCAA